GUUGUUAUCUAGACGUGGGUCUUAAGUGCUAAAUGUUCAAGUGUCAUAGGAAUCCGGCACAAUAGUUUUAAAAAACAUUAGACAUGGGGACAUGUCUAUACCUGUACAUAAAUUUUGUAUAUGCAUAAUACAUAUACAUAAAAUAUAAAUCCUACGGAAUAUAUUUAAAAAUGCGGUAAAUAAGAUUUUUGAUAAAUUUUGUUGGCAAAACCAUUAUUUUGGCCUAAUAGUCUAGAAAGUGGAAGUGUUUUAUAGCUGUCGAGUAAAGAAUAAAUACUCUGUAGUCUUGAUAGCCCCGAGUGACAUUGAUGUGUCAUUCAAUUAGUGGGUCAAACUGUCACGCCCCGAAUCGGUCACCUGGGUCAGCCAUGUGACACAGCCACAUACACCCUAAAAGGCCCCAGAGAAUAUGCAAGGCUUCAAAAUUUAUUACAACCUCAAUAUCACUGAACAAUAAUGAUCUCAAUUCAUAACAAAUAACAAUACUUAUACAAUUACAAAUUUAUUCAUACAACCGAUAACAAUGAUGCUCUAUCCCUUUUAUCUGUGAUCUCAACCAUAGCCAAGUAUUCUCUAAAAAGAAAAGAAAAAGAAGAUUGUGAGCUUUACAGCUCAGUAAGAAUUUUUACACGUUCGCACUAAUAUAGUAAUAUAGUUUGAAAAUAGCAAUAAGCAACACCAAAAUGA
This 687-nucleotide long non-coding RNA is filed under the name Phoenix dactylifera (date palm). RNAcentral's name for it is "long non-coding RNA (PDAC_LNC000540)". The record is from RNAcentral. Lineage: Eukaryota; Viridiplantae; Streptophyta; Magnoliopsida; Arecales; Arecaceae.